GACGAACGCUGGCGGCGUGCUUAACACAUGCAAGUCGAACGGUGAAGCGCCUUCCUUUUUGGUGGGUGUGGAUGAGUGGCGAACGGGUGAGUAACACGUGCGUAACCUGCCCCCUUCUUCUGGAUAACCGCAUGAAAGUGUGGCUAAUACGGGAUAUUCUGGGUCUGUGGCAUGAUGGGUCUGGGAAAGAUAUUGUUUCGGUGGGGGAUGGGCUCGCGGCCUAUCAGCUUGUUGGUGGGGUGAUGGCCUACCAAGGCGGUGACGGGUAGCCGGCCUGAGAGGGUGGACGGCCACACUGGGACGGAGACACGGCCCAGACUCCUACGGGAGGCAGCAGUGGGGAAUAUUGCACAAUGGGCGCAAGCCUGAUGCAGCGACGCCGCGGGAGGGAUGGAGGCCUUCGGGUUGUGAACCUCUUUCGCCAGUGAAGCAGGCCUGCCUCGUUUGUGGGUGGGUUGACGGUAGCUGGAUAAGAAGCGCCGGCUAACUACGUG
This 494-nucleotide ribosomal RNA is filed under the name uncultured bacterium. Its description in RNAcentral is "partial 16S ribosomal RNA". It matches the Rfam family "Bacterial small subunit ribosomal RNA", at positions 28 to 507 of the family's 1533-position model. The record is from RNAcentral.